AUACGGAGGAUGCGAGCGUUAUCCGGAUUUAUUGGGUUUAAAGGGAGCGUAGGUGGGAUAUUAAGUCAGCUGUGAAAGUUUGGGGCUCAACCUUAAAAUUGCAGUUGAUACUGGUUUCCUUGAGUACAGUAGAGGUGGGCGGAAUUCGUGGUGUAGCGGUGAAAUGCUUAGAUAUCACGAAGAACUCCGAUUGCGAAGGCAGCUCACUAGACUGUUACUGACACUGAUGCUCGAAAGUGUGGGUAUCAAACAGGAUUAGAUACCCUGGUAGUCCACACAGUAAACGAUGAAUACUCGCUGUUUGCGAUAUACAGUAAGCGGCCAAGCGAAAGCAUUAAGUAUUCCACCUGGGGAGUACGCCGGCAACGGUGAAACUUAAAGGAAUUGACGGGG
This 393-nucleotide ribosomal RNA is filed under the name uncultured bacterium. RNAcentral describes it as "partial 16S ribosomal RNA". It matches the Rfam family "Bacterial small subunit ribosomal RNA", at positions 523 to 918 of the family's 1533-position model. The record is from RNAcentral.